Molecule: small nuclear RNA, 107 nt
Filed under: Castor canadensis (American beaver)
Lineage: Eukaryota; Metazoa; Chordata; Mammalia; Rodentia; Castoridae
Source: RNAcentral
GUGCUCGAUGCAGCACCACAUAUAAUAAAAUUGGAAUGAUACAGAGAAGAUUGGCAUGGCCCCUGUGCAAGGAUGACACGCAAAUUCAUGAAGUGUUUCAUAGUUCA